UACGGAGGAGGCAAGCGUUGUUCGGAUUCAUUGGGCGUAAAGGGUGCGUAGGUGGCGCGCUAAGUCAGGUGUGAAAUCUCGGGGCUUAACUCCGAAACUGCAUUUGAUACUGGCGUGCUUGAGGACUGGAGAGGAGACUGGAAUUCAUGGUGUAGCAGUGAAAUGCGUAGAGAUCAUGAGGAAGACCAGUGGCGAAGGCGGGUCUCUGGACAGUUCCUGACACUGAGGCACGAAGGCCAGGGGAGCAAACGGG
This 253-nucleotide ribosomal RNA is filed under the name uncultured bacterium. RNAcentral's name for it is "partial 16S ribosomal RNA". It matches the Rfam family "Bacterial small subunit ribosomal RNA", at positions 524 to 776 of the family's 1533-position model. The record is from RNAcentral.